GGGUUGUGAGGUUAAGCGACUAAGCGUACACGGUGGAUGCCCUGGCAGUCAGAGGCGAUGAAGGACGUGCUAAUCUGCGAAAAGCGUCGGUAAGGUGAUAUGAACCGUUAUAACCGGCGAUGUCCGAAUGGGGAAACCCAGUGCAAUUCGUUGCACUAUCGUUAACUGAAUACAUAGGUUAACGAGGCGAACCGGGGGAACUGAAACAUCUAAGUACCCCGAGGAAAAGAAAUCAACCGAGAUUCCCCCAGUAGCGGCGAGCGAACGGGGAGCAGCCCAGAGUCUGAAUCAGCUUGUGUGUUAGUGGAACGGUCUGGAAAGUCCGACGGUACAGGGUGAUAGUCCCGUACACCAAAAUGCACAGGCUGUGAACUCGAAGAGUAGGGCGGGACACGUGGUAUCCUGUCUGAAUAUGGGGGGACCAUCCUCCAAGGCUAAAUACUCCUGACUGACCGAUAGUGAACCAGUACCGUGAGGGAAAGGCGAAAAGAACCCCGGCGAGGGGAGUGAAAAAGAACCUGAAACCGUGUACGUACAAGCAGUGGGAGCACCUUCGGGUGUGACUGCGUACCUUUUGUAUAAUGGGUCAGCGACUUAUAUUCUGUAGCAAGGUUAACCGUAUAGGGGAGCCGCAGGGAAACCGAGUCUUAACUGGGCGUUAAGUUGCAGGGUAUAGACCCGAAACCCGGUGAUCUAGCCAUGGGCAGGUUGAAGGUUGGGUAACACUAACUGGAGGACCGAACCGACUAAUGUUGAAAAAUUAGCGGAUGACUUGUGGCUGGGGGUGAAAGGCCAAUCAAACCGGGAGAUAGCUGGUUCUCCCCGAAAGCUAUUUAGGUAGCGCCUCGUGAACUCAUCUUCGGGGGUAGAGCACUGUUUCGGCUAGGGGGUCAUCCCGACUUACCAACCCGAUGCAAACUACGAAUACCGAAGAAUGUUAUCACGGGAGACACACGGCGGGUGCUAACGUCCGUCGUGAAGAGGGAAACAACCCAGACCGCCAGCUAAGGUCCCAAAGUCAUGGUUAAGUGGGAAACGAUGUGGGAAGGCACAGACAGCCAGGAUGUUGGCUUAGAAGCAGCCAUCAUUUAAAGAAAGCGUAAUAGCUCACUGGUCGAGUCGGCCUGCGCGGAAGAUGUAACGGGGCUAAACCAUGCACCGAAGCUGCGGCAGCGACACUAUGUGUUGUUGGGUAGGGGAGCGUUCUGUAAGCCUGCGAAGGUGGCCUGUGAGGGUUGCUGGAGGUAUCAGAAGUGCGAAUGCUGACAUAAGUAACGAUAAAGCGGGUGAAAAGCCCGCUCGCCGGAAGACCAAGGGUUCCUGUCCAACGUUAAUCGGGGCAGGGUGAGUCGACCCCUAAGGCGAGGCCGAAAGGCGUAGUCGAUGGGAAACAGGUUAAUAUUCCUGUACUUGGUGUUACUGCGAAGGGGGGACGGAGAAGGCUAUGUUAGCCGGGCGACGGUUGUCCCGGUUUAAGCAUGUAGGCUGAUUAUCCAGGCAAAUCCGGAUAAUCAAGGCUGAGGUGUGAUGACGAGGCACUACGGUGCUGAAGUAACAAAUGCCCUGCUUCCAGGAAAAGCCUCUAAGCAUCAGGUAACAUCAAAUCGUACCCCAAACCGACACAGGUGGUCAGGUAGAGAAUACCAAGGCGCUUGAGAGAACUCGGGUGAAGGAACUAGGCAAAAUGGUGCCGUAACUUCGGGAGAAGGCACGCUGGUGUGUAGGUGAAGUCCCUGCGGAUGGAGCUGAGACCAGUCGAAGAUACCAGCUGGCUGCAACUGUUUAUUAAAAACACAGCACUGUGCAAACACGAAAGUGGACGUAUACGGUGUGACGCCUGCCCGGUGCCGGAAGGUUAAUUGAUGGGGUUAUCCGUAAGGAGAAGCUCUUGAUCGAAGCCCCGGUAAACGGCGGCCGUAACUAUAACGGUCCUAAGGUAGCGAAAUUCCUUGUCGGGUAAGUUCCGACCUGCACGAAUGGCGUAAUGAUGGCCAGGCUGUCUCCACCCGAGACUCAGUGAAAUUGAACUCGCUGUGAAGAUGCAGUGUACCCGCGGCAAGACGGAAAGACCCCGUGAACCUUUACUAUAGCUUGACACUGAACAUUGAGCCUUGAUGUGUAGGAUAGGUGGGAGGCUUUGAAGCGUGGACGCCAGUCUGCGUGGAGCCAACCUUGAAAUACCACCCUUUAAUGUUUGAUGUUCUAACGUUGGCCCCGGGUUGCGGACAGUGUCUGGUGGGUAGUUUGACUGGGGCGGUCUCCUCCCAAAGCGUAACGGAGGAGCACGAAGGUUAGCUAAUCCUGGUCGGACAUCAGGAGGUUAGUGCAAUGGCAUAAGCUAGCUUGACUGCGAGCGUGACGGCGCGAGCAGGUGCGAAAGCAGGUCAUAGUGAUCCGGUGGUUCUGAAUGGAAGGGCCAUCGCUCAACGGAUAAAAGGUACUCCGGGGAUAACAGGCUGAUACCGCCCAAGAGUUCAUAUCGACGGCGGUGUUUGGCACCUCGAUGUCGGCUCAUCACAUCCUGGGGCUGAAGUAGGUCCCAAGGGUAUGGCUGUUCGCCAUUUAAAGUGGUACGCGAGCUGGGUUUAGAACGUCGUGAGACAGUUCGGUCCCUAUCUGCCGUGGGCGCUGGAGAAUUGAGGGGGGCUGCUCCUAGUACGAGAGGACCGGAGUGGACGCAUCACUGGUGUUCGGGUUGUCAUGCCAAUGGCACUGCCCGGUAGCUAAAUGCGGAAGAGAUAAGUGCUGAAAGCAUCUAAGCACGAAACUUGCCCCGAGAUGAGUUCUCCCUGAGACUUUAAGUCUCCUGAAGGAACGUUGAAGACGACGACGUUGAUAGGCCGGGUGUGUAAGCGCAGCGAUGCGUUGAGCUAACCGGUACUAAUGAACCGUGAGGCUUAACCUUACAACGCCGAAG
This 2917-nucleotide ribosomal RNA is filed under the name Klebsiella quasipneumoniae. Its description in RNAcentral is "bacterial LSU rRNA". It matches the Rfam family "Bacterial large subunit ribosomal RNA". The record is from RNAcentral. Lineage: Bacteria; Pseudomonadati; Pseudomonadota; Gammaproteobacteria; Enterobacterales; Enterobacteriaceae.